GCAUCGAUGAAGAACGCAGCGAAUUGCGAUAAGUAAUGUGAAUUGCAGAAUUCAGUGAAUCAUCGAAUCUUUGAACGCAGCUUGCGCUCUCUGGUAUUCCGGAGAGCAUGCCUGUUUCAGUGUCAUGAAAUCUCAACCACUAGGGUUUCCUAAUGGAUUGGAUUUGGGCGUCUGCGAUCUCUGAUCGCUCGCCUUAAAAGAGUUAGCAAGUUUGACAUUCAUGUCUGGUGUAAUAAGUUUCACUGGGUCCAUGGUGUUGAAGCGUGCUUCUAAUCGUCCGCAAGGACAAUUACUUUGACUCUGGCCUGAAAUCAGGUAGGACUACCCGCUGAACUUAAGCAUAUCAAUAAGCGGAGGA
This 358-nucleotide ribosomal RNA is filed under the name Trichosporon inkin. RNAcentral's name for it is "eukaryotic LSU rRNA". The stretch from base 1 to 125 matches the Rfam family "5.8S ribosomal RNA", at positions 30 to 154 of the family's 154-position model. The record is from RNAcentral. Lineage: Eukaryota; Fungi; Basidiomycota; Tremellomycetes; Trichosporonales; Trichosporonaceae.